Molecule: long non-coding RNA, 426 nt
Organism: Solanum pennellii
Lineage: Eukaryota; Viridiplantae; Streptophyta; Magnoliopsida; Solanales; Solanaceae
Exons: 2
Source: RefSeq, a predicted model, not a curated record
UUUAAGGCUUUCAACUUGUAUCAGUUGAGGGCAUUUAAAACCUUACGGACUUUGAAACCUCUCUACACUUUCACCCAAUUUCGCAUCUUUUCCAAUUCCAUUGUCAUCUUCAAUGUUCUCUCUCUUUUCCUAUCAAUAAAAUUUUUUACUGUACAAGUACUCAACUAGCAAAUCUUCCCAAUAGAAGCACAUUAUACUCAGCGGAUGUUGGUGAACUCCUGGUCGAUUUGAGGCUUAAAGGAGUCUUUACUACGCGUAUUUUCAUAGUGGUACCAUCAUGGAUUCCAGUAGAGGCUUUGUAGACAUUAUAAAGCUAUCAUCUGUAUUCAUAAUUUCACUUGUCACAUAUAGCAGUUCAGCUAGUUAAAAUGUGUUAUAUAUGAAGCUUCUCAAUAGUAAUAUGCACAGUAAUUUAGUUUUUCAUCA